UAGGGAAUCUUGCGCAAUGGACGAAAGUCUGACGCAGCAAUACCGCGUGCACGAUGAAGGUCUUCGGAUCGUAAAGUGCUUUUCCACGGGAAGAGAAAGGACUGUACCGUGGGAAUAAGGGUCGGCUAACUACGUGCCAGCAGCCGCGGUAACACGUAGGAUCCAAACGUUAUCCGGAUUUACUGGGCGUAAAGCGCGUGCAGGUGGUUUGGUAGGUUGGGUGUCAAAGCUCUGGGCUUAACCCGGAGAG
Molecule: ribosomal RNA, 250 nt
Filed under: uncultured bacterium
Lineage: Bacteria
Description: partial 16S ribosomal RNA
Rfam family: Bacterial small subunit ribosomal RNA
Source: RNAcentral